Molecule: ribosomal RNA, 20 nt
Filed under: Bonamia sp. ex Crassostrea ariakensis
Lineage: Eukaryota; Endomyxa; Ascetosporea; Haplosporida; Haplosporidiidae
Description: partial small subunit ribosomal RNA
Source: RNAcentral
CGUAGGUGAACCUACGGAAG